RNAcentral lists this ribosomal RNA (466 nucleotides) under uncultured bacterium. RNAcentral's name for it is "partial 16S ribosomal RNA". It matches the Rfam family "Bacterial small subunit ribosomal RNA", at positions 29 to 507 of the family's 1533-position model. The record is from RNAcentral.
UAUGCACGCUGGCGGCGUGCUUAACACAUGCAAGUCGAACGAUGAAGCCCAGCUUGCUGGGUGGAUUAGUGGCGAACGGGUGAGUAACACGUGAGUAACCUGCCCUUGACUCUGGGAUAAGCCUGGGAAACUGGGUCUAAUACUGGAUAUGACUUCUCAUCGCAUGGUGGGGGGUGGAAAGAUUUAUUGGUCUUGGAUGGACUCGCGGCCUAUCAGCUUGUUGGUGAGGUAAUGGCUCACCAAGGCGACGACGGGUAGCCGGCCUGAGAGGGUGACCGGCCACACUGGGACUGAGACACGGCCCAGACUCCUACGGGAGGCAGCAGUGGGGAAUAUUGCACAAUGGGCGCAAGCCUGAUGCAGCGACGCCGCGUGAGGGAUGACGGCCUUCGGUUUGUAAACCUCUUUCAGUAGGGAAGAAGCGAGAGUGACGGUACCUGCAGAAGAAGCGCCGGCUAACUACGUG